RNAcentral lists this ribosomal RNA (397 nucleotides) under uncultured bacterium. Its description in RNAcentral is "partial 16S ribosomal RNA". It matches the Rfam family "Bacterial small subunit ribosomal RNA", at positions 523 to 918 of the family's 1533-position model. The record is from RNAcentral.
AUACGUAGGGGGCGAGCGUUGUCCGGAAUGAUUGGGCGUAAAGGGCGCGUAGGCGGCGCGGUAAGUCUGGAGUGAAAGUCCUGCUUUCAAGGUGGGAAUUGCUUUGGAUACUGCCGCGCUUGAGUGCAGGAGAGGUUAUCGGAAUUCCCGGUGUAGCGGUGAAAUGCGUAAAGAUCGGGAGGAACACCAGUGGCGAAGGCGGGUAACUGGACUGCAACUGACGCUGAGGCGCGAAAGUGUGGGGAGCAAACAGGAUUAGAUACCCUGGUAGUCCACACUGUAAACGAUGAAUGCUAGGUGUAAGAGGUAUCGACCCCUUUUGUGCCGGAGUCAACACAAUAAGCAUUCCGCCUGGGGAGUACGGCCGCAAGGUUGAAACUCAAAGGAAUUGGCGGGG